This 497-nucleotide ribosomal RNA is filed under the name uncultured bacterium. RNAcentral's name for it is "partial 16S ribosomal RNA". It matches the Rfam family "Bacterial small subunit ribosomal RNA", at positions 28 to 507 of the family's 1533-position model. The record is from RNAcentral.
GAUGAACGCUGGCGGCGUGCCUAAUACAUGCAAGUCGAGCGAACGGACGAGAAGCUUGCUUCUCUGAUGUUAGCGGCGGACGGGUGAGUAACACGUGGAUAACCUACCUAUAAGACUGGGAUAACUUCGGGAAACCGUAGCUAAUACCGGAUAAUAUUUUGAACCGCAUGGUUCAAAAGUGAAAGACGGUCUUGCUGUCACUUAUAGAUGGAUCCGCGCUGCAUUAGCUAGUUGGUAAGGUAACGGCUUACCAAGGCAACGAUGCAUAGCCGACCUGAGAGGGUGAUCGGCCACACUGGAACUGAGACACGGUCCAGACUCCUACGGGAGGCAGCAGUAGGGAAUCUUCCGCAAUGGGCGAAAGCCUGACGGAGCAACGCCGCGUGAGUGGUGAAGGUCUUCCGAUCGUAAAACUCUGUUAUUAGGGAAGAACAUAUGUGUAAGUAACUGUGCACAUCUUGACGGUACCUAAUCAAAAAGCCCCGGCUAACUACGUG